RNAcentral lists this ribosomal RNA (486 nucleotides) under uncultured bacterium. RNAcentral's name for it is "partial 16S ribosomal RNA". It matches the Rfam family "Bacterial small subunit ribosomal RNA", at positions 29 to 507 of the family's 1533-position model. The record is from RNAcentral.
AACGAACGCUGGCGGCGCGUCUUAACCAUGCAAGUCGAGCGGCAGGCAGCAAUGCCGAGAGCGGCGGACUGGUGAGUAACACGUGGAUAACGUACCCCGAUGUCCGGGACAGCCUGUAGAAAUAGAGGGUAAUACCGGAUAGAUCACUGUUUACGUGAGGUAGACAGCGGGAAAGGAGCUUCGGCUCCGCGACGGGAUCGGUCUGCGGCCCAUCAGCUGGACGGCGGGGUAAAGGCCCGCCGUGGCGAGGACGGGUAUCCGGCCUGAGAGGGCGGACGGACACAUUGGGACUGAGAUACGGCCCAGACUCCUACGGGAGGCAGCAGGUAAGAAUAUUCCGCAAUGGGGGGAACCCUGACGGAGCGACGCCGCGUGAACGAAGAAGGACGGAAGGUUGUAAAGUUCUUUUCUGUCCGAGGAAUAAGUUUCGGAGGAAAUGCCGGGACGGUGACGGUAGGGCAGGAAUAAGCACCGGCUAAUUACGUG